UUAAACUUCUCCAGCCUCAAGCUAUCUUUGAGCUCUGAUGUUGUAAAGCUAUGUGUUCUGUAACACUGUGCCAGGAGAUAAGAAGCUUAAAAGGAAAAUGCCAAUGUUUUUUCUUUUUCCAACUAGAUAUAAGUGACUGGAAAUCUACUAGACUAAAAUCUCAUUUGGUGUAAGAAAGAUUUUUAGACUUCCCAAUUACCAAUCAGAUAAUCUCCGUUCUUGCAGAACAUAGUAAGUCUCUCCAAUAUUUUGACCCUAAUUUUAUGCAAUCCUAAUCCAGCAAACCCUUCACAAAGACAUAUAGAUAAUUCUAACUAACCCCCAAAAAGACAAAGAAAAAACAUAGAGACUGCCUAAAGAAAAGCUAGAGAUAAAAACAGUAAAAUAAUCAGACCACAAAAUAUAGAUUGUUACCUAACUGGCAAUGAUCUGAUAUACAUGCCCAUCCAUACACUUCUGAACUGAUCUAUCAGAUUCAACAGCCGAAUACCACUCGAUCUUGAUAGUAAAUAUCCUCUCAGCGUUCUUAUAGACUUUUAACCUUACUUUCAGG
This 553-nucleotide long non-coding RNA is filed under the name Coffea arabica (coffee). RNAcentral describes it as "long non-coding RNA (CARA_LNC006952)". The record is from RNAcentral. Lineage: Eukaryota; Viridiplantae; Streptophyta; Magnoliopsida; Gentianales; Rubiaceae.